Molecule: non-coding RNA, 46 nt
Organism: Schistosoma curassoni
Lineage: Eukaryota; Metazoa; Platyhelminthes; Trematoda; Strigeidida; Schistosomatidae
Source: Rfam
CUACCACAGAGGAGUCCCAUAAUAGGACGAAACGGCCGUCCAGUGU